This 315-nucleotide ribosomal RNA is filed under the name uncultured eukaryote. RNAcentral describes it as "partial 18S ribosomal RNA". It matches the Rfam family "Eukaryotic small subunit ribosomal RNA", at positions 1470 to 1796 of the family's 1831-position model. The record is from RNAcentral.
CCCUUAGAUGCUCUGGGCCGCACGCGCGCUACACUGGUCGAUGCAACGAGUUUCUUUCCUUGGCCGACAGGCCUGGGCAAUCUUUGAACAUCGAUCGUGAUCGGGAUAGAUUCUUGUAAUUUUUGAUCUUAAACGAGGAAUUCCUAGUAAACGCAAGUCAUCAGCUUGCAUUGAUUACGUCCCUGCCCUUUGUACACACCGCCCGUCGCACCUACCGAUUGAAUGGUCCGGUGAAAUCUCCGGAUUGGCGCGCACCUCGGUGCCGCCGAGAAGUUGGCUAAACCUUACCAUUUAGAGGAAGGUGAAGUCGUAACA